GGUAACUGGGUGCAGGUCCCAGCCGCCGCACUAAACCCAGCCAGUGCGGUGAUUGGACGCAGAUUCCGGGCCGUGGCGGCGGCGGGCGAUCCGAAAGAGGCUGGUGCUGGCUGCAUGGGGAGGCGGCGGCAGCGGGUGGACCCCGCGGCUGGGGCCCGGGCCGGGGCCCUGCCUGAGGCCAUCGCCGCGUUGAGUCGGUCGCUGCCCUCGGGACCCAGCCCCGAGAUCUUCCGCCGCGCCAAGUUCGACCGUCCGGAGGCGGUGACGCUCGCGCAGAGGGCAGCCGGGCCGGGUGGGGGACCCGGGCCCUCGCAGGGAGUUGGGCCGGCUCCGCUGACCGCCCACUUUUUAUUUUCCGCAGACCUCCGCGCUCUGGCAGCUCCUCUUCCGUGUGCUCUCGCCACUCCCUGUGGGCAACGCCUUGGCCUCGCUCGCCCUGGAGGCCCAAGCCCACUUGGUGAAGUCAGCACUAUGCUCCCAGGGCUACCCGAGGCUAGCACUGGCACAACUACCUGAGGAUGGCUCGCAGGGCAGUCGGGAGCUGCUGCUGGCUCUGUCCUGGCUCUUGGCCCGAGGACCUGUGCCUGAGCAGAUGCUGGCCCAGGCCCGAGUGCCUCUGGGUGACGAGAUGACUGUGUGCCAGUGUGAGGCCCUGGCCAGCCCUGGCCCACCUGCACCCCACAUGGAAGCAGAGGGUCCUGUGGAUGUCCGCCGUGUGCAGUGGCUGAUGGGAAAGCUGCAAUUCCGGUGGCGCCAGCUGGUGUCCAGUCAGCAGGAGCAGU
RNAcentral lists this small RNA (782 nucleotides) under Pongo abelii (Sumatran orangutan). RNAcentral's name for it is "retained intron". Lineage: Eukaryota; Metazoa; Chordata; Mammalia; Primates; Hominidae. The record is from RNAcentral.